This 335-nucleotide ribosomal RNA is filed under the name uncultured Actinomycetes bacterium. RNAcentral describes it as "bacterial SSU rRNA". It matches the Rfam family "Bacterial small subunit ribosomal RNA", at positions 30 to 358 of the family's 1533-position model. The record is from RNAcentral. Lineage: Bacteria; Bacillati; Actinomycetota; Actinomycetes.
CGAACGCUGGUCCCGUGCCUAACAAAAGCAAGUGGAGCGACGAACCGGGCUUCGGCCCGGGGCAAAUCCCCGAACGGGUGAGUAACACGUGGGUAACCUGCCCUGAUGAUUGGGACAACCCGAGGAAACUCGGGCUAAUACCGAAUGUUCUCGUUUCUCUCAAGGGAAUCGAGUAAAGAUAGCUUCGGCCUUCGCAUCGGGACGGGCCCGCGGCCCAUUAGCUUGUUGGUGAGGUAACGGCUUACCAAGGCGACGAUGGGUAGCUGGUCUGAGAGGAUGAUCAGCCUCACUGGGACUGAGACACGGCCCAGACUCCUACGGGAGGCAGCAGUGGG